RNAcentral lists this ribosomal RNA (497 nucleotides) under uncultured bacterium. Its description in RNAcentral is "partial 16S ribosomal RNA". It matches the Rfam family "Bacterial small subunit ribosomal RNA", at positions 28 to 507 of the family's 1533-position model. The record is from RNAcentral.
GAUGAACGCUGGCGGCGUGCCUAAUACAUGCAAGUCGAGCGAACGGACGAGAAGCUUGCUUCUCUGAUGUUAGCGGCGGACGGGUGAGUAACACGUGGAUAACCUACCUAUAAGACUGGGAUAACUUCGGGAAACCGGAGCUAAUACCGGAUAAUAUUUUGAAACGCAUGGGUCAAAAGUGAAAGACGGUCUUGGUGUCACUUAUAGAUGGAUCCGCGCUGCAUUAGCUAGUUGGUAAGGUAACGGCUUACCAAGGCAACGAUGCAUAGCCGACCUGAGAGGGUGAUCGGCCACACUGGAACUGAGACACGGUCCAGACUCCUACGGGAGGCAGCAGUAGGGAAUCUUCCGCAAUGGGCGAAAGCCUGACGGAGCAACGCCGCGUGAGUGAUGAAGGUCUUCGGAUCGUAAAACUCUGUUAUUAGGGAAGAACAUAUGUGUAAGUAACUGUGCACAUCUUGACGGUACCUAAUCAGAAAGCCACGGCUAACUACGUG